UACGAAGGACCCGAGCGUUAUCCGGAUUUAUUGGGUUUAAAGGGUGCGUAGGCGGAUUAGUAAGUCAGUGGUGAAAGCCCAUCGCUUAACGGUGGAACUGCCAUUGAUACUGCUAGUCUUGAGUAUGGUUGAGGUGGGCGGAAUGUGUCAUGUAGCGGUGAAAUGCUUAGAUAUGACCCAGAACACCAAUUGUGAAGGCAGCUCGCUAAGCCAUAACUGACGCUGAUGCACGAAAGCGUGGGGAGCAAACAGG
This 253-nucleotide ribosomal RNA is filed under the name uncultured bacterium. RNAcentral describes it as "partial 16S ribosomal RNA". It matches the Rfam family "Bacterial small subunit ribosomal RNA", at positions 524 to 776 of the family's 1533-position model. The record is from RNAcentral.